RNAcentral lists this long non-coding RNA (1258 nucleotides) under Vigna radiata. RNAcentral's name for it is "long non-coding RNA (VRAD_LNC014121)". The record is from RNAcentral. Lineage: Eukaryota; Viridiplantae; Streptophyta; Magnoliopsida; Fabales; Fabaceae.
UUUAUUUGUCCGGUAUUUUACCGUUUUUCCAAAUUAUGCUUAAUUUGAUCGGAAAUAUUCAUUUUAAUUAAUUUGAAUUUUUUGAGCUAAUUAUUUGCAUUAUUAUUUUCAGGGAAAAUUUUUGACAAACAAUUUGGAGCAUUGGGAAGGAGACAAAAUAAAUUCAAGACUCUCAAAUUAGACAUUUUAAAUUUUAGUUAUAUUGUAAUUUAAUUGUUUAAACUUUUUAGACAAACUUUUGCACAUUGGGNCAUUGUUGGCAAAAAUAUGAUGGGCCCAAGUAGUAGACACUUGUCACCCNAGGGUUUCCUUNUAUUUUAGGGNGGACCCCACCCAUUUUGGAGGCAACACUUGGUCUCUUAGUAAUGACCAACCGUCACAUGAAAGAGGGCUCUCGGUAAUUUUAUUUUGGGGAGNUGGCAGCGUCAAUUUUUAUGNAUUUUUCUGNUGGGAACNUCUUGGAUUUUUCUUGGAAGGAUGUGUAUUUUAUUUGAAUAUGGAUGAAGGAGAAUGAAGAGCUCACGGCAUUUUCUUUUGUGCUGCACCCAAAUUCCUCUUGUCUACUUUUGUUUGCUUUUCUUCAAGAUGUGAUGAUUCAAUUGGAUAAAGUUAGGGGUGGAGAACGGUCAUAGCUAGCAGGAAGAAGGCUGCUUCAGCAGAUUUGAUUCUCGGUGCAUUUCUUUAAUUUCACUUCUUUAUUGUUGAAUGAAGANCACGGUUCUUAUCACUUUGAUGAGUAGAAAUGUGAUUGAAGGCUUGGAAAAGUUAUUUUCAAUUUCUUUGUUAAUGAAGAAGUAAUGAAGAUGUGAGUAGGUGCUAGUAAGUUGUGAUGGGACAUUGGCAUCCAUUUAUUGUAACGAUGCAUUUCUUUUGCUUAUUUGAAGAAAGAUGAAUGAAGAGGUAGAUUAGGUGAGUGUGGGUCCGUUGAUGUUGACUCCAUGGUGUGCAUGUUGGAAGAUAGUCUUAAUCUUUUUUUCUCUUCACUCAAUACUAUCGGUUUCAAUUUGAUUAGUUAGGUUUUUUUUUUAUUUUAAUUUGAGAAUUUGUGAUGUGAUGGAUGCAGAGGCUUCAUGCCAUUAAAGUGUUUCUUUAACUAGUUGAUGAAAUUAGUAGUAGAUUAGGUAGACUAGGAGGUUGGGACGUGACUUGGUAAUGAGUUUUUUUUUUUUAUUUCUUUUAUUUCUUUGUUGAAGGAUGAGGAAUAGAUUUACGGGCUUCAUGUGCUGGCAAACCAUUUCCACUUUCAAUUUAUUUUUUU